Molecule: ribosomal RNA, 253 nt
Filed under: uncultured bacterium
Lineage: Bacteria
Description: partial 16S ribosomal RNA
Rfam family: Bacterial small subunit ribosomal RNA
Source: RNAcentral
UACGUAGGGUGCGAGCGUUAAUCGGAAUUACUGGGCGUAAAGGGCGCGCAGGCGGCGUCGCAAGUCAGGCGUGAAAUCCCCGGGCUUAACCUGGGAACUGCACUUGAAACUACGAUGCUGGAGUAUGGCAGAGGGAGGUGGAAUUCCACGUGUAGCGGUGAAAUGCGUAGAGAUGUGGAGGAACACCGAUGGCGAAGGCAGCCUCCUGGGCCAAUACUGACGCUCAUGCACGAAAGCGUGGGGAGCAAACAGG